RNAcentral lists this transfer RNA (75 nucleotides) under Deltaproteobacteria bacterium. RNAcentral describes it as "tRNA-Val". It matches the Rfam family "tRNA". From Rfam's summary of the family: Transfer RNA (tRNA) molecules are approximately 80 nucleotides in length. Their secondary structure includes four short double-helical elements and three loops (D, anti-codon, and T loops). Further hydrogen bonds mediate the characteristic L-shaped molecular structure. tRNAs have two regions of fundamental functional importance: the anti-codon, which is responsible for specific mRNA codon recognition, and the 3' end, to which the tRNAs corresponding amino acid is attached (by aminoacyl-tRNA synthetases). tRNAs cope with the degeneracy of the genetic code in two manners: having more than one tRNA (with a specific anti-codon) for a particular amino acid; and 'wobble' base-pairing, i.e. permitting non-standard base-pairing at the 3rd anti-codon position. RNAcentral also lists the same sequence under 1 other name. The record is from RNAcentral. Lineage: Bacteria; Pseudomonadati; Myxococcota; Myxococcia.
GGGCGAUUAACUCAGAGGUAGAGUGCCUUCUUCACACGGAGGAUGUCGCUGGUUCAAGUCCUGCAUCGCCCACCA